Molecule: long non-coding RNA, 397 nt
Organism: Papaver somniferum (opium poppy)
Lineage: Eukaryota; Viridiplantae; Streptophyta; Magnoliopsida; Ranunculales; Papaveraceae
Exons: 3
Source: RefSeq, a predicted model, not a curated record
CCGUGUUUGUGGAAACCCUCAAGCUAUUAUCAGGAAGUAUGGUCUCAUGUGUUGCAGACAGUGCUUCCGCAGUAACGCUAAGGAAAUUGGUUUCAUCAAGUCAGUCAAUUGCGCUUAACUGAAAAGAAUAACAAAGAAUGGAUAAAUCCUGGAUGAGUACUGAUAGAACGAAAAAACGCUAUAGAGAAGGAGUCGCGGCGUUUCUGCGGUAUGCUGUCAACCAUGUCAAGGAGGAGGGUGAUACAUUUGAUGAAUUUCUUAUGCUAUGUCCAUGUACGGAUUGUUUAAAUCUUUGUGAAUGCUCAGUUGGCGACGUAGAAGAUCAUUUAUUCUUAAAUGGAAUCGAUCAAACGUAUACUACUUGGACUAAGCAUGGGGAAAAGGAUGAGGCAAUUAG